UACGGAGGGUGCAAGCGUUAUCCGGAUUUACUGGGUUUAAAGGGUGCGCAGGCGGAUAUGUAAGUCAGUGGUGAAAUCUCCAGGCUUAACCUGGAAAUUGCCGUUGAUACUAUAUAUCUUGAAUGUUGUGGAGGUAAGCAGAAUAUGUCAUGUAGCGGUGAAAUGCUUAGAUAUGACAUAGAACACCUAUUGCGAAGGCAGCUUACUACGCAGAUAUUGACGCUCAUGCACGAAAGCGUGGGGAUCAAACAGG
RNAcentral lists this ribosomal RNA (253 nucleotides) under uncultured bacterium. RNAcentral describes it as "partial 16S ribosomal RNA". It matches the Rfam family "Bacterial small subunit ribosomal RNA", at positions 524 to 776 of the family's 1533-position model. The record is from RNAcentral.